UACGGAGGGUGCAAGCGUUAUCCGGAUUUACUGGGUUUAAAGGGUGUGUAGGCGGAUUUUUAAGUCAGAGGUGAAAUCUCCAGGCUCAACCUGGAAACUGCCCCCUGAUACUAUUAGUCUUGAAUAUUGAUGAGGUGGGCGGAACGGGUCAUGUAGCGGUGAAAUGCUUAGAGAUGACCCCGGAACACCAAUUGCGAAGGGCAGCUCAC
RNAcentral lists this ribosomal RNA (209 nucleotides) under uncultured bacterium. Its description in RNAcentral is "partial 16S ribosomal RNA". It matches the Rfam family "Bacterial small subunit ribosomal RNA", at positions 524 to 729 of the family's 1533-position model. The record is from RNAcentral.